This 264-nucleotide ribosomal RNA is filed under the name uncultured archaeon. RNAcentral's name for it is "partial 16S ribosomal RNA". It matches the Rfam family "Archaeal small subunit ribosomal RNA", at positions 718 to 982 of the family's 1478-position model. The record is from RNAcentral.
AGUCACUGACAUUAGAUACCCCUGUAGUCCAGGGUGUAAACGCUGCAGACUUGGUGUUGGAAAUCCUUCGAGGGUAUUCAGUGCCGGAGAGAAGUUGUUAAGUCUGCUACUUGGGGAGUACGUCCGCAAGGAUGAAACUUAAAGGAAUUGGCGGGGAGCACCGCAACGGGAGGAGCGUGCGGUUUAAUUGGAUUCAACACCGGAAAACUCACCAGGGGAGACUGUUACAUGAAACCCAGACUAAUGAUCUUGGUUGAUUUUCAG